This 425-nucleotide ribosomal RNA is filed under the name uncultured bacterium. RNAcentral's name for it is "partial 16S ribosomal RNA". It matches the Rfam family "Bacterial small subunit ribosomal RNA", at positions 354 to 796 of the family's 1533-position model. The record is from RNAcentral.
GUGGGGAAUAUUGGGCAAUGGGCGAAAGCCUGACCCAGCAACGCCGCGUGAAGGAAGAAGAUUUUCGGAUCGUAAACUUCUAUCCUUGGUGAAGAUAAUGACGGUAGCCAAGAAGGAAGCCCCGGCUAACUACGUGCCAGCAGCCGCGGUAAUACGUAGGGGGCAAGCGUUGUCCGGAAUGAUUGGGCGUAAAGGGCGCGUAGGCGGCCUGGUAAGUCUGGAGUGAAAGUCCUGCUUUUAAGGUGGGAAUUGCUUUGGAUACUGUCGGGCUUGAGUGCAGGAGAGGUAAGUGGAAUUCCCGGUGUAGCGGUGAAAUGCGUAGAGAUCGGGAGGAACACCAGUGGCGAAGGCGACUUACUGGACUGUAACUGACGCUGAGGCGCGAAAGUGUGGGGAGCAAACAGGAUUAGAAACCCCUGUAGUCC